GUGGGGAAUAUUGGACAAUGGGCGAAAGCCUGAUCCAGCCAUGCCGCGUGUGUGAAGAAGGUCUUCGGAUUGUAAAGCACUUUAAGUUGGGAGGAAGGGCAGUAAGUUAAUACCUUGCUGUUUUGACGUUACCGACAGAAUAAGCACCGGCUAACUUCGUGCCAGCAGCCGCGGUAAUACGAAGGGUGCAAGCGUUAAUCGGAAUUACUGGGCGUAAAGCGCGCGUAGGUGGUUUUGUAAGUUGGAGGUGAAAUCCCCGGGCUCAACCUGGGAACUGCCUCCAAAACUGCAUGACUAGAGUACGGUAGAGGGUAGUGGAAUUUCCUGUGUAGCGGUGAAAUGCGUAGAUAUAGGAAGGAACACCAGUGGUGAAGGCGACUACCUGGACUGAUACUGACACUGAGGUGCGAAAGCGUGGGGAGCAAACAGGAUUAGAAACCCUGGUAGUCC
This 450-nucleotide ribosomal RNA is filed under the name uncultured bacterium. RNAcentral's name for it is "partial 16S ribosomal RNA". It matches the Rfam family "Bacterial small subunit ribosomal RNA", at positions 354 to 796 of the family's 1533-position model. The record is from RNAcentral.